CGGCAGAAGAGCUGGAACAACCCGCUAGGCGUC
This 33-nucleotide small RNA is filed under the name Propionibacterium australiense. Its description in RNAcentral is "CRISPR_Spacer". The record is from RNAcentral. Lineage: Bacteria; Bacillati; Actinomycetota; Actinomycetes; Propionibacteriales; Propionibacteriaceae.